GCGAGUGGGCGCAUGGAUUAGGCAUGCAAGUCGAGGGAAUCCCAGCAAUGGGGGAACCGGCGUAAGGGGCAGUAAGGCAUGGGUACCUACCCUGAAGUUCGGGAUAGCCAUCAGAGAUGGUGGGUAAUACCGGAUGAUGUCGUGAGACCAAAGAUUUAUCGCUUUGGGAGGGGCCCAUGUGAUAUUAGCUAGUUGGUGAGGUAACGGCUCACCAAGGCAAAGAUGUCUAGCGGGUAUGAGAGUACGACCCGCGCCACUCGCACUGAGACACUGGCGAGACACCUACGGGUGGCUGCAGUCGAGGAUCUUCGUCAAUGGGCGAAAGCCUGAACGAGCGAUGCCGCGUGCGCGAUGAAGGCCUUCGGGUUGUAAAGCGCUUUAGUGGGGGAGAAACGGGUAAAACCUUGAUCUAUCCCAAAAAUAAGCUCGGGCUAAGUUCGUGCCAGCAGCCGCGGUAAGACGAACCGAGCGAACGUUGUUCGGAAUCACUGGGCUUAAAGGGCGCGUAGGCGGGCUGUCAAGUCUGGGGUGAAAUCCCGCGGCUCAACCGUGGAACUGCCUUAGAUACUGACGGCCUCGAGGGAGAUAGGGGCGAGCGGAACUGUGAGUGGAGCGGUGAAAUGCGUUGAUAUUCACAGGAACUCCGGUGGCGAAGGCGGCUCGCUGGAUCUUUUCUGACGCUGAGGCGCGAAAGCUAGGGGAGCAAACGGGAUUAGAUACCCCGGUAGUCCUAGCCCUAAACGAUGAGUACUAGAUUGUAGACUUACAUGGGUUUACAGUCUAAGCAAAAGUGUUAAGUACUCCGCCCUGGGGGAGUAUGGUCGCAAGGCUGAAACUCAAAGAAAU
Molecule: ribosomal RNA, 846 nt
Filed under: uncultured bacterium
Lineage: Bacteria
Description: bacterial SSU rRNA
Rfam family: Bacterial small subunit ribosomal RNA
Source: RNAcentral